Molecule: long non-coding RNA, 1112 nt
Organism: Sphaerodactylus townsendi
Lineage: Eukaryota; Metazoa; Chordata; Lepidosauria; Squamata; Sphaerodactylidae
Exons: 3
Source: RefSeq, a predicted model, not a curated record
CUCUAGAAAGUAAUCUAUCAGAUUGAUGCUGGGAUUCAUCUUCAUCUCCUGACCAAUCUCCCUCCCCUCUUUCCGAAGGGAUGGCCUAUAAGCAAAUGGAGAAGCUGUCAUCUGCCUCCAUCUCAAACUCAGUUAGGUUCCAGGGAUGAUCGCUCCAGGAAUGCUCCCAACUGGAAGGACAGCAGGAAGGACACACCCAGAAGUCUGAACUGUGUGACUGAUUACAGAAGAAGAGGAAGAAGUGAUCUUAGAACCGUUGCCUUCAGGCAUCUCUCUCACAGGUAAAUACUGAAAAGGCAAAAAACUAGAUAACCUUGAUUGAAACUAUCAGUGGAGUUAUAGCAAUAGUGACCUGACUGAACGCAGAGCUAUCAAAACUGGAGAAGGAAACCUCCUGCAGUCCAGAAGAGCUGCAAAAGAUUUGCAUCGCCCUGCCUGAACAGUUGGAGGUAUGACCUAACCAGCUUGGAUGACAAGUUCCACUGAAGGAGAAAAACAAGGUUUCACGAUCAACAGAACACUCCUGUCAUAUUUACACAGGAACCUUUCCAGCUUCUUUUCAAAAGGCAAGUGGAAUUUAAAGCUAGUCUACACAGGUUGAUGGAUUUGUAAUAAAUCCUUUUCUAUUAGAUAUGUUUACACACAUUGUUAAAUGUUUCUUACAUGUUCUAACAUAAGAAUUUACCUGAUUUUUCAUCAUAAGAGUCAUAGCAAAAUAUAUCUUCUCAUGUGUAAUACCUUCAUAAAAUAUUUGGUGUUAAACAUUUCUCUGUUAUCCUAAUAUCCUUCUUGGCUUUUAAAUAAUCCAUUUGUCAUUGCGUAGAAGUGAUAACAUUUCAUGCAAUAUUACUGGAUGCAAUAUGACUACAAGAAAGGGAGUAUACACAUCAGGAAUUUAUUUAAAAUAUUUUAUACUGCUUUCCAGUUAAAGAAGUUACAAAAAUUAAAACUCAAACACACUUGGUAUUUCAUCAAACAUUAUCACAAUCAGCUGGAUGAAAUAUUCUUAGAGGAAACAAUCCUUAAUUACUGAGAAACAUAUUGAAAAACAAACUUGUUUUGGCAGAGUCUAAAAGAGAGGCAACCAAAUUCAUUAAAAAAAUUUUUUUACC